AAAAUUGUUUUUCUUUUACCAAUAUUCUGCAAAGUUUUAAAUUAAACAGAACGAAAAUGAAACUUUAUUCAACACUUCUCGUGGCAACAAUUUUAAUUGUUUGUUGGGCAACUGUCGGAGAAGCCCGUCUUGUCGGUCUAAUAAAUAGGAACAAGCGUGAAGGGCCAGCAUAAAAAAUAGGCACAAACGUGCUGCGCCGUAUAAAAAUUAAUUCAUUCAAGUAAUUCGAAUCCUAAAGAAGAAUUUAAUUUUUGUAAGAUGAAAACAAAAUAAAUAAAAUCUGAAUAUUAA
Leptopilina heterotoma is the source of this 291-nucleotide long non-coding RNA. RefSeq lists it as uncharacterized. The record is from RefSeq and is a predicted model, not a curated record. Lineage: Eukaryota; Metazoa; Arthropoda; Insecta; Hymenoptera; Figitidae. The transcript has 3 exons.